This 500-nucleotide ribosomal RNA is filed under the name uncultured bacterium. RNAcentral's name for it is "partial 16S ribosomal RNA". It matches the Rfam family "Bacterial small subunit ribosomal RNA", at positions 28 to 507 of the family's 1533-position model. The record is from RNAcentral.
GACGAACGCUGGCGGCGUGCCUAAUACAUGCCAGUCGAGCGGACUUUCCUGAGUGCUUGCACUCCGGAAGGUUAGCGGCGUUCGGGUGGGUAACACGUAGGCUACCUGCCCAUACUACCGGGAUAACAUUCGGAAACGAAUGCUAAUACCGUAUAGACGGACUUCUCUUAUUAGGGGAUCGGGAAAGGCAGAGCAAUCUGCCGCCUCUACAUGGGCCUCCUGCGCAUUAUUAAGUUGGUGGGGUAACGGCCUACCAAGGAGACGAUGCGAAACAGACCGGGAAGGGGGACCGGCCACACGGGAACUGGAACAGGGCCCAGACUCCUAGGGAAGGCAGAAGUAGGGAAUCUUGGGCAAUGGACGAAAGUCGGACGGAGCAACGCCGCGUGAGUGAGGAAGGCUUUCGGGUCGUAAAGCUCUGUUGACAGGGAAGAACGGUGAGGGGAGGAACAGCCCUUGCCAUGACGGUACCUGAGAAGAAAGCCCCGGCUAACUACGUG